AUGGGUGAAGAGACCCUCCACCGCGGCUUGCAUCGUUUGAAAAUUACAUCUCAUCACUUACAGUUACAACCCUGCCAUGGCAGUCUCCACCUAGAUAACCUAGCUUACUACUCGCCACUUGCCCGCCUUGAUAUCCUACCAAAGAAAGAAUCGAGGUCCCCCGUGAGAAGGCCCAGCCGUCUUCCAAGUUCUUCCUUCACGGUUGAUGCUCGGAAGUACCUCUCGAAUGGAGGUGGUAGCUUCUUCAAAAACCACAUCAUUCAUAUGUUUCCACGGCUCCCAAAGACCCAACGUGAUGAUGGACUUGAGAUCCUUGGGCGAGUAGUCGCCGCAAGUCCUUGA
This 342-nucleotide ribosomal RNA is filed under the name Triticum aestivum (bread wheat). RNAcentral's name for it is "partial small subunit ribosomal RNA". Lineage: Eukaryota; Viridiplantae; Streptophyta; Magnoliopsida; Poales; Poaceae. The record is from RNAcentral.